Argiope bruennichi is the source of this 638-nucleotide long non-coding RNA. RefSeq lists it as uncharacterized. The record is from RefSeq and is a predicted model, not a curated record. NCBI's taxonomy places the organism in Eukaryota, Metazoa, Arthropoda, Arachnida, Araneae, Araneidae. The transcript has 4 exons.
CACAGAAACCACCCAUCCCUCCUUAGGGAAGAUUCAAGCUCUGUUGGAUUCAUGCCAGGUGAUCAUGCUGUACAUUUUAUACACUCGACACACUGUUAUAAAAUUGAAACAUCUAAAAGAAACGUUCUGGGACAUCGAACGUUCUCAUUCAAUAAAAGGAAGAUGUCACCCGUGGUUCCAGUGAGAGUGUCUGAUGAGGCACAGUGUUCAAGAUUAUGAUUGCGUAUGGGAAGAAUGGAAAAUCUACAUUUGGCAAAAACUAGUAGGAAGAGAAGUGACAAGUGAAGAAAAAGUGACAAUAAUAUUUAUUAGCUUUAUACAGGUUUUCCAAAUCCUAUUAGCACAAAAGAAAACAAACAGUACUUUACAGCUAUGUUUUUCUAUGAACGAACUAUUGUUUUCAGAAUGCUCAUCAGUGCGAAAAGCUACCAAGGGGAGAUAAUGGCACAUAGAAAUAAAGUCUGAGCUGAAGGAAAAUGCUGCCAUUUGAUAGGAUUUGCUUUUGUUUGCUUUUCAUGAUGUGUUUUAUUCAGAAUAUUAAGAAAGCAAGGGGAAGCAAGUCUUCUUUUCAACUGCAGCCUAAGCUAUAAAAAGAGUAUUUUGGAGUGUACAUAUACAGUUUAUAAUCAUAAAAACAA